RNAcentral lists this ribosomal RNA (170 nucleotides) under Cypripedium acaule (pink lady's slipper). RNAcentral's name for it is "5.8S ribosomal RNA". The record is from RNAcentral. Lineage: Eukaryota; Viridiplantae; Streptophyta; Magnoliopsida; Asparagales; Orchidaceae.
GCUAAGGGCACGCCUGCCUGGGCGUCGUGUGUUGUGUCUCUCUUGCCAAUGCCUGUCCAUAUAUCUAGGCUUGCAUUGUGCGGAUGCGAAAGAUUGGCCCCUUGUGCCUUGGCGCGUUGGGUCUAAGGAAUGUUUUGAUGGCCCGAAACUUGGCAGGAGGUGGAGGACAU